RNAcentral lists this long non-coding RNA (4020 nucleotides) under Homo sapiens (human). Its description in RNAcentral is "HSALNT0389661". The record is from RNAcentral. Lineage: Eukaryota; Metazoa; Chordata; Mammalia; Primates; Hominidae.
CUCUUCGGGGACGCACGGUUGGAAGUUGUACCGUGACGUGAUGGUCAGAUCGGAUGAUAGAAUUUUGAAACCUCCCCAGCAUUAAGGCAAGAAAGGUGUCUCUGUUUUUUCCGAAGUGUGCCUGCUUGACUCCUUUGAUUUUUCUCUGGGAUUCUUCAUCCUCCAUCAAGUUGAUCGAUCCCUCUGGAUCUUGGUCAGUUUCCUGACAUCUCUAUGAAGUUCAGUGACCCAGACUGAGUCCACGUCUCAAAUAAGGUUCUGACUAAUGCAGAGUCUAACAGAAAGAUUACUGAACAUGUCAUGCACUAUUAAUAACUCCUGUUAUCGAGGAUUUUUUUUUCACAAUAGGAAUGAACAGAGUUCUGACUCACUCUAGGUUUGUGGUAAAUUGCAGAUCACUUUCUGCUUUAUUUAGCGGGAGUCCCUGUUGUCAUCUUUCUCCUUCUCUCUUGGCCCUCAUAAUUAUCAUAUCUUCCCCAAACGUUCUUCAGCUGUGAAUAGCCCUAAGCACUAUUCAGAGUGAGUGACAGCUCUCUUAUUUCGUGCUGGGGGACAUACAAACCCUUGGACAAACACUUGUCACUGUGUGCCAAGAAGCUGAAAAAUUCUUCUUGCCUCAGAGCCAUAAUUACACUUUUGGUAGCAUAUUCUAAGGAAGUCAUCCCAUGUACAGGAAAAGCUGCAAUGUGUCAGGAUGUUCAUUCCAGCAAUAUUUAUAGUAGUGAAAAACUGAAAGCAACCAAAUGCCCAAGAAAAAAAUUACAGUAUAUCCACUGGAUGGAAUAGUAUGAAGCCAUUUAGGACAGAUUGUGAAAACCCUGUGGCAGUAUGGGGAAUGUUUGCUAAGUUAUAUGAAAAGAUGAGGACACAAAAUAGCAUAACAUACAUUCCCCAGGGAUAUAGUCAGCAAAGUCUAGAAUGAAGAAAAUUAGGACAAACACCCAAUUCCCUUAACAAAUAAAACUGGGGCCAGGUAUGGUGACUCACGCCUGUAAUCCCAGCACUUUGAGAGGCCAAGGCUUGUGUCCAGGAGUUCGAGACCAACCUGGACAACAUGGUAAAACCCCGUGGUCUACAAAAAAUACAAAAAUUAGUUGGGCAUGGUGGUGUGUCUAUAGUCCCAGCUACUCAGGAGGCUGAGGUGGGAGGAUCAAUUGAGCCCGGGAGGUCAAGGCUGCAGUGAGCUGUGAUCGUGCCAGUGCAUUCCAGUCUGGGCAGCAGAGUGAGAUCCUGUCUCAAAAAAAAAAAAAAAAAAAAAGGAAAAAAAAGAGGGGGAGAGACUUACAGAUUAAAAUAAAUUAAAUGAUAUAUCAACUAAAAGUCUUAUUUGGAUCCUGAUUCAAGCAAACUGACUUUAAAAAAAAAAAAAAAAAAAAAAAAAAAAAGGCCGGGCAUGGUCACGCAUGCCUGUAACCCCAGUACUUUGGGAGGCCAAGGUAGGCGGAUCACCUGAGGUCAGGAGUUUGACACCAGCCUGGCCAACGUGGUGAAACUCCGUCUCUACUAAAACUACAAAAACUAGCUGGGUGUGGUGAUGGGCGCCUGUAAUCCCAGCUACUCAGGAGGCUGAAGCAAGAGAAUUGCUUGAACCCAGGAGGCAGAGGUUGUAGUGAGCCAAGAUUGCACCAUUGGCACUCCAGCCUGGGUGACUGAGCAAGGCUCUGUCUCAAAAAAAAAAAAAAAAAAAAAAAGAUUUUAUUAAGUUAUCAGGCAAAUUUGAAUACUGACAAGGUAUUCAACGAUAUUAAGGAAUUCUAAAUGUUUAGGCGUGAUAUGGAAUUGUGGUAAGGUUGUUUUUUUAAUUUAAAAAGUCCUCCAUGGCUGGGCGUGGUAGCUCAUGCCUGUAAUCCCAGCACUUUGGGAGGCUCAGGCAGACAGAUCACCUGAGGUCAGGAGUUCGAGACCAGCCUGGCCAACAUGGUGAAACCCCGCCUCUACUAAAAAUACAAAAAUUAGCCAGGCGUGGUGACAGGCGCCUAUAAUCCCAGCUACUUGAGAGGCUGAGGCAGGAGAAUCGCUUGAACCCAGGAGGUGGAGGAUGCAGUGAGCCGAGAUCGUGCCAUUGCACUCCAGCCUGGGAGACAAGAGUGAAACUUCAUCUCAAAAAAAAAAAAAGUCUUCCUUGGCUGGGUGCGUUGGAUCACACCUGUAAUCCCAGCACUUUGGGAGGUGAGGCAGGCAGAUCACAAGGUCAGGAGUUUGAGACCAGCCUGGCCAGCAUGGUGAAAUCCCGUCUCUACUAAAAAUAGAAAAAAAUUAGCCAGGCAUGGUGGCACGUGCCUGUAAUCCCAGCUACUCGGGAGGCUGAGGCAGGAGAAUUACUUGAAACUGGGAGGCAGAGGUUGCAGUGAGCCGAGAUCAUACCACUGUACUCCACCCCGGGUGACAGAGAGAGACUUCGUCUCAAAAAAAAAAAAAAAAAAAAAGUCCUCCUUUCAGACAUACAUACAUACUAAAAUAUCUGUGGAUGAAAUGAUACAGUGAUUGCAUUUGCUUCGAAAUAAUCUGGACUGGGAACCAUAGGGAAAUAAUAAGAUGAGCCAUGAGGUGAUAAUUAUGGAAGCUGUGUGAUGAGGACAUGAAGUUCCUUAUAUUAUUUUCUAUACUUUUUUUUUUUUUUUUUUUUUGAGACAGAGUCUCACUCUGUCACCCAGGCUGGAGCACAGUGGUGCAGUUUCGGCUCACUGCAACCUCCGCCUCCCUAGUUCAAGAGAUUUUCCUGCCUCAGCCUCCCGAGUGGGCUGGGAUUACAGGUGCACGCCACCACAUCCAGGUAAUUUUUGUAUUUUUAGUUGAGACAGGGUUUCACCAUGUUGGCCAGGCUGGUUUUGAACUCCUGACUUCAAGUGAUCUGCCCACCUUGGCCUCCCAAAGUGCUGGGAUUACAGGCAUGAGCCACCACGCCUGGGCUAUUUUCUCUACUUUUUUAAUGUUUAAAACUGUUCAUAAUAAAAAGUCUAAACCUGCAUAUACGUUAAUGAUUAAGAUAAGCCAAAAUAGAGCAGCACUGGUAACAUCCUCUGGCACCAGACUGCCAGGGUUCAACUCGCAGCUCCUCUAGUUACCAGCUGUGUAACCUUAAGCAAGUUACUGAACCUCUCUGUGCUUCAGUUACCUCGUUGCUAAAAGAAUUGGCAAGUGACACUGGUGUUCGGAAAAAAUAAAGUAAAUGAAGAUGGCGAUGAUCAUGAUAAUACCCUCCUCAUGUUGUGGAUAUUAAAUGGGUCAGUAAAUGUGAAAUGAAACACUCAAAACAAUUCCUGGCACAUAAUUAAGUGCUCAGUAUGUGUUGCCUUUUAUUAAUUCAUUCCACAUUUGAAUGAUAUUUGAGCAUCUACUUUACUAGGUUAUGGAAAUUCAACAAAAUAAAAACAGACCUUGGGCCGGGCACUGUGGCUCAAGCCUGUAAUCCCAGCACUUUGGGAAGCUGAGGCGGGAGGAUUGCUUGAGGCCAGGAGUUCAAGACCAGCCUGGCAACGUAAUGAGACCCCCCCCCCACCCAACCACCAUCUCUAUAAAAAACAAAAAUAAAUUAGCCGGGCAUGGUGGCAUGUUCCCGUAGUCCCAGCUACUCAGGAGGCUAAGGCGGGAGGAUCGCUUGAGCCCAAGGAAUUCGAGGCUGCAGUGAGUUAUGAUCUCGCUAGGAAUUCGAGGCUGCAGUGAGUUAUGAUCUCGCUAUUUCACUCCAGCCUGGGCAAUAAAGCAAGCCCUGUCUCUUAAAACAACAACAACCGGGCAUGGUGGCUAGCGCCUGUAAUCCCAGCACUUUGGGAGGCCGAGGCAGGUGGAUCAUCUGAGGUCAGGAGUUCGAGACCAGCCUGGCCAACAUGGUGAAACCCCGUCUCUACUAAAAAUGCAAAAAUUAGCCAGGCAUGGUGGCGCGCCCCUGUAAUCCCAGUUACUAGGAAGACUGAGGUGGGAGAAUUGCUUGAACCCGGGAGGCGGAGGCUGCAGAGAGCAGAGAUGGCGCCAUUUUACUCCAGCCUGGGCAACAAGAGUGGAACUUUGUCUCAAAAAAUA